UGCUAGAGGAGGUCACAAGACAAGUGGAGCAAGUCCAUCUAAUACCCAGGAAGCUCAUUAGUUUUUAGGACUCUACUUUGCUAGGCUUAUGUAAAA
Long non-coding RNA from Populus euphratica (Euphrates poplar), 96 nucleotides. RefSeq lists it as uncharacterized. The transcript has 2 exons. NCBI's taxonomy places the organism in Eukaryota, Viridiplantae, Streptophyta, Magnoliopsida, Malpighiales, Salicaceae. The record is from RefSeq and is a predicted model, not a curated record.